This 464-nucleotide ribosomal RNA is filed under the name uncultured bacterium. RNAcentral describes it as "partial 16S ribosomal RNA". It matches the Rfam family "Bacterial small subunit ribosomal RNA", at positions 339 to 795 of the family's 1533-position model. The record is from RNAcentral.
CUACGGGUGGCAGCAGUGGGGAAUAUUGCACAAUGGGCGCAAGCCUGAUGCAGCCAUGCCGCGUGUAUGAAGAAGGCCUUCGGGUUGUAAAGUACUUUCAGCGGGGAGGAAGGGAGUAAAGUUAAUACCUUUGCUCAUUGACGUUACCCGCAGAAGAAGCACCGGCUAACUCCGUGCCAGCAGCCGCGGUAAUACGGAGGGUGCAAGCGUUAAUCGGAAUUACUGGGCGUAAAGCGCACGCAGGCGGUUUGUUAAGUCAGAUGUGAAAUCCCCGGGCUCAACCUGGGAACUGCAUCUGAUACUGGCCAGCUUGAGGCUCGUAGAGGGGGGUAGAAUUCCAGGUGUAGCGGUGAAAUGCGUAGAGAUCUGGAGGAAUACCGGUGGCGAAGGCGGCCCCCUGGACGAAGACUGACGCUCAGGUGCGAAAGCGUGGGGAGCAAACAGGAUUAGAUACCCGCGUAGUC